GCGGCACUAGCUCAUCCGGAUAGAGUAGCUGCCUUCUAAGCAGCAGGUAGGGGGUUCGAGUCCCUCGUGCCGCG
Molecule: transfer RNA, 74 nt
Filed under: Spirochaetaceae bacterium
Lineage: Bacteria; Pseudomonadati; Spirochaetota; Spirochaetia; Spirochaetales; Spirochaetaceae
Description: tRNA-Arg
Rfam family: tRNA
About the family: Transfer RNA (tRNA) molecules are approximately 80 nucleotides in length. Their secondary structure includes four short double-helical elements and three loops (D, anti-codon, and T loops). Further hydrogen bonds mediate the characteristic L-shaped molecular structure. tRNAs have two regions of fundamental functional importance: the anti-codon, which is responsible for specific mRNA codon recognition, and the 3' end, to which the tRNAs corresponding amino acid is attached (by aminoacyl-tRNA synthetases). tRNAs cope with the degeneracy of the genetic code in two manners: having more than one tRNA (with a specific anti-codon) for a particular amino acid; and 'wobble' base-pairing, i.e. permitting non-standard base-pairing at the 3rd anti-codon position.
Source: RNAcentral